AGUUUUUAUUUUGGAAAUAAAUAAUUUUGAAAAUUAUUAAAAAGUGUUCGACUCACUUAAAAGCUA
This 66-nucleotide transfer RNA is filed under the name Clavisyllis tenjini. RNAcentral's name for it is "tRNA-Ser". Lineage: Eukaryota; Metazoa; Annelida; Polychaeta; Phyllodocida; Syllidae. The record is from RNAcentral.